AGGUGAAAAGCACUUCGAACAGAAGAGUGAAAUAGUCCCUGAACCCAUACGCCUACAAGCAGUCGGAGCCGCUUCGUGCGGUGACGGCGUGCCUUUUGCAUAAUGAGCCUACGAGUUACUCAUCACCAGCGAGGUUAAGUACUUCAGGUACGUAAGCCGAAGCGAAAGCGAGUCUGAAUAGGGCGUCAAGUUGGUGGUGGUAGACGCGAAACCUUAGUGAUCUACCCAUGGGCAGGGUGAAGGUUUGGUAACACAAACUGGAGGCCCGAACCGGUAAACGUUGAAAAGUUUUCGGAUGACCUGUGGGUAGGGGUGAAAGGCCAAUCAAACUGGGAAAUAGCUCGUACUCUCCGAAAUGCAUUUAGGUGCAGCCUCUGUUGUUUUGUUCUAGAGGUAGAGCUACUGAUUGGAUGCGAGGGCUUCACCGCCUAUCAAAUCCGGCCAAACUCCGAAUGCUAGAACAUGAAGACAGGGAGUGAGCCAGCGGGUGCUAAGGUCCGUUGACGAAAGAGGGAGAACUCAGACCAUCAGCUAAGGUCCCCAAUUAUAUGCUAAGUUGGAAUAAAAACGGGGUGGGACUGCUUAGACAGCUAGGAUGUUGGCUUGGAAGCAGCCAUUCAUUUAAAGAGUGCGUAACAGCUCACUAGUCGAGCGGUCCUGCAUGGAUAAUACGCGGGCAUAAGCAUAUAACCGAAGCUAUGGGAUUGUAGAUGAUACAAUCGGUAGGAGAGCAUUCCAUUCAGCGUAGAAGCAGUACCGUGAGGUAUUGUGGAGCGGAUGGAAAAGCAAAUGUAGGCAUAAGUAACGAUAAUGCGGGUGAGAACCCCGCACGCCGAAAGAUCAAGGAUUCCCCGGCAAUGUCAAUCAUCCGGGGGUAAGUCGGAUCCUAAGGGUAAGCCGAGUGGCGAUCCCGAUGGUAAACAGGUUAAUAUUCCUGUACUGAUCAUAACUGCGAUGCAGCGACGCAGAGGUGACACUGCUGCGUACUGACGGAAUAGUACGUUGAAACCCGUAUUCUUUGAUACCGGUAGUGAAGCACGCCGGUAGAGAUGAAAGGUGAUAGUACCGCAAUGCUUCGGUUGCGCGGAUAAUGCAGGUAAGCUGACUGCCAAGAAAACCUGCUAAGCUUCAGGUAAUGAUCAUCCGUACUGUAAACGGACACACGUGAUCAGGUAGAAAAUACUAAGGCGCUCGAGAGAUUCAUGGUUAAGGAACUAGGCAAAAUGGUCCUGUAACUUCGGGAUAAAGGACGCUCUUGUGAAAGAGCCGCAGAUAAUAGGCCCAGGCGACUGUUUACCAAAAACACAUGGCUAUGCUAAUUCGCAAGAAGAUGUAUAUGGCCUGACACCUGCCCGGUGCCGGAAGGUUAAGAGGAGAGCUCAGAGGUAACUCGAAGGUUUGAAUUGAAGCCCCGGUAAACGGCGGCCGUAACUAUAACGGUCCUAAGGUAGCGAAAUUCCUUGUCGGGUAAGUUCCGACCUGCACGAAUGGUGUAACGAUCUGGGUACUGUCUCAACCAUGAGCUCGGUGAAAUUGUAGUUCCGGUGAAGAUGCCGGAUACCCGCAACGGGACGGAAAGACCCCGUGAACCUUUACUGCAGCUUUGCAUUGAUUUUGGGUAACAGAUGUGUAGGAUAGGUCGGAGGCUUUGAUGCUGCGUCGUCAGGCGUAGAGUAGCCGUCGUUGAAAUACGACCCUUUUGUUAUCUGAGGUCUAAUCCCGUUAGGGAGACAUUGCAUGGUGGGUAGUUUGACUGGGGUGGUCGCCUCCAAAAGUGUAACGGAGGCUUCUCAAGGUACCCUCAAGGCGUUUGGUAAUCGUCUGCAGAGUGCAAUGGCAUAAGGGUGCUUGACUGUGAGACCGACACGUCGAUCAGGUUGGAAACAAGAGCAUAGUGAUCCGGUGGUUCCGCAUGGAAGGGCCAUCGCU
RNAcentral lists this ribosomal RNA (1929 nucleotides) under human gut metagenome. RNAcentral describes it as "bacterial LSU rRNA". It matches the Rfam family "Bacterial large subunit ribosomal RNA", at positions 512 to 2449 of the family's 2925-position model. The record is from RNAcentral.